AACGAACGCUGGCGGCAUGCCUAACACAUGCAAGUCGAACGAGACCUUCGGGUCUAGUGGCGCACGGGUGCGUAACGCGUGGGAACCUGCCCUUAGGUUCGGAAUAACUCCCCGAAAGGGGUGCUAAUACCGGAUAAUGUCUUCGGACCAAAGAUUUAUCGCCGUUGGAUGGGCCCGCGUUGGAUUAGCAAGUUGGUAGGGUAAAAGCCUACCAAGGCGACGAUCCAUAGCUGGUCUGAGAGGAUGGGCAGCCACACUGGGACUGAGACACGGCCCAGAAUCCUACGGGAGGCAGCAAUGGGGAAUAUUGGACUAUGGGCGAAAGCCUGAUCGAGCAAUGCCGCGUGAGUGAUGAAGGCCUUAGGGUUGUAAAGCUCUUUUAUCCGGGAUGAUAAUGACAGUACCGGGAGAAUAAGCUCCGGCUAACUCCGUG
RNAcentral lists this ribosomal RNA (433 nucleotides) under uncultured bacterium. RNAcentral describes it as "partial 16S ribosomal RNA". It matches the Rfam family "Bacterial small subunit ribosomal RNA", at positions 29 to 507 of the family's 1533-position model. The record is from RNAcentral.